UACGUAGGUGGCAAGCGUUAUCCGGAAUUAUUGGGCGUAAAGCGCGCGUAGGCGGUUUUUUAAGUCUGAUGUGAAGGCCCACGGCUCAGCCGUGGAGGGUCAUUGGAAACUGGAAAACUUGAGUCGCACGCAGAGGAAAGUGGAAUUCCAUGUGUAGCGGUGAAAUGCGCAGAGAUAUGGAGGAACACCAGUGGCGAAGG
Molecule: ribosomal RNA, 200 nt
Filed under: uncultured Staphylococcus sp.
Lineage: Bacteria; Bacillati; Bacillota; Bacilli; Caryophanales; Staphylococcaceae
Description: partial 16S ribosomal RNA
Rfam family: Bacterial small subunit ribosomal RNA
Source: RNAcentral